Molecule: ribosomal RNA, 449 nt
Filed under: uncultured bacterium
Lineage: Bacteria
Description: partial 16S ribosomal RNA
Rfam family: Bacterial small subunit ribosomal RNA
Source: RNAcentral
GCCAGACUCCUACGGGAGGCAGCAGUGGGGGAUAUUGCACAAUGGGGGGAACCCUGAUGCAGCGACGCCGCGUGGGUGAAGGAGCGUUUCGGCGCGUAAAGCCCUCUCGGCAGGGAAGAAGGAGGACGGUACCUGACUAAGAAGCCCCGGCUAACUACGUGCCAGCAGCCGCGGUAAUACGUAGGUGGCAAGCGUUAUCCGGAUUCACUGGGUGUAAAGGGAGCGUAGACGGCGGCGCAAGUCUGGAGUGAAAGCCCGGGGCCGAACCCCGGGACUGCGCUGGAAACUGCGGCGCUGGAGUACGGGAGGGGGAGGCGGAAUUCCUGGUGUAGCGGUGAAAUGCGUAGAUAUCAGGAGGAACACCGGUGGCGGAGGCGGCCUGCUGGACUGCGACUGACGUUGAGGCCCGAAAGCGUGGGGAGCAAACAGGAUUAGAUACCCCGGUAAAC